AUCCAGCUGACGAGUCCCAUAUAGGACGAAACUCUCAUCCUUGAU
Non-coding RNA from Schistosoma mansoni, 45 nucleotides. The record is from Rfam. NCBI's taxonomy places the organism in Eukaryota, Metazoa, Platyhelminthes, Trematoda, Strigeidida, Schistosomatidae.